GCGUCGGUCGGCCCUGGGAGGCCAAGCGGUCUGUAAAACCGCCGCACUCGUGCUCCGCCGGUUCGAUUCCGGCCCGACGCAC
Molecule: transfer RNA, 82 nt
Filed under: Limnoglobus roseus
Lineage: Bacteria; Pseudomonadati; Planctomycetota; Planctomycetia; Gemmatales; Gemmataceae
Description: tRNA-Tyr
Rfam family: tRNA
About the family: Transfer RNA (tRNA) molecules are approximately 80 nucleotides in length. Their secondary structure includes four short double-helical elements and three loops (D, anti-codon, and T loops).
Source: RNAcentral